Molecule: ribosomal RNA, 301 nt
Filed under: uncultured bacterium
Lineage: Bacteria
Description: bacterial SSU rRNA
Rfam family: Bacterial small subunit ribosomal RNA
Source: RNAcentral
GUGCCAGCAGCCGCGGUAAUACAGAGGGUGCAAGCGUUAAUCGGAAUUACUGGGCGUAAAGCGCACGUAGGUGGUUUGGUAAGUCGGAUGUGAAAGCCCCGGGCUCAACCUGGGAAUUGCAUUCGAUACUGCCUGGCUAGAAUAUGUCAGAGGGGGGUAGAAUUCCACGUGUAGCAGUGAAAUGCGUAGAGAUGUGGAGGAAUACCAAUGGCGAAGGCAGCCCCCUGGGAUAAUAUUGACGCUCAUGCACGAAAGCGUGGGGAGCAAACAGGAUUAGAUACCCUGGUAGUCCACGCCCUAA